Molecule: ribosomal RNA, 499 nt
Filed under: uncultured bacterium
Lineage: Bacteria
Description: partial 16S ribosomal RNA
Rfam family: Bacterial small subunit ribosomal RNA
Source: RNAcentral
ACUCAAAGGAAUAGACGGGGGCCCGCACAAGCGGUGGAGCAUGUGGUUUAAUUCGAUGCAACGCGAAGAACCUUACCUACUCUUGACAUCUUGGGAAUCUGAUUGAGAGAUUGGAGUGCCGAAAGGAGCCCAAAGACAGGUGCUGCAUGGCUGUCGUCAGCUCGUGUCGUGAGAUGUUGGGUUAAGUCCCGUAACGAGCGCAACCCUUAUCCUUAGUUGCCAGCACGUAAAGGUGGGAACUCUAAGGAGACUGCCGGUGAUAAACCGGAGGAAGGUGGGGAUGAGGUCAAGUCAUCAUGGCCUUUAUGAGUAGGGCCACACACGUGCUACAAUGGUCGGUACAGAGGGAAGCCAACCCGCGAGGGGGAGCAAAACUCAGAAAGCCGAUCGUAGUCCGGAUCGGAGUCUGGAAUUCGACUCCGUGAAGUCGGAAUCGCUAGUAAUCGCGGAUCAGAACGCCGCGGUGAAUACGUUCCCGGGCCUUGUACACACCGCCCGU